UGGAGCCGACCUUGAAAUACCACCCUUUAAUGUUUGAUGUUCUAACGUGGACCCGUGAUCCGGGUUGCGGACAGUGUCUGGUGGGUAGUUUGACUGGGGCGGUCUCCUCCUAAAGAGUAACGGAGGAGCACGAAGGUUGGCUAAUCCUGGUCGGACAUCAGGAGGUUAGUGCAAUGGCAUAAGCCAGCUUGACUGCGAGCGUGACGGCGCGAGCAGGUGCGAAAGCAGGUCAUAGUGAUCCGGUGGUUCUGAAUGGAAGGGCCAUCGCUCAACGGAUAAAAGGUACUCCGGGGAUAACAGGCUGAUACCGCCCAAGAGUUCAUAUCGACGGCGGUGUUUGGCACCUCGAUGUCGGCUCAUCACAUCCUGGGGCUGAAGUAGGUCCCAAGGGUAUGGCUGUUCGCCAUUUAAAGUGGUACGCGAGCUGGGUUUAGAACGUCGUGAGACAGUUCGGUCCCUAUCUGCCGUGGGCGCUGGAGAACUGAGGGGGGCUGCUCCUAGUACGAGAGGACCGGAGUGGACGCAUCACUGGUGUUCGGGUUGUCAUGCCAAUGGCACUGCCCGGUAGCUAAAUGCGGAAGAGAUAAGUGCUGAAAGCAUCUAAGCACGAAACUUGCCCCGAGAUGAGUUCUCCCUGAGACUUAAAGUCUCCUGAAGGAACGUUGAAGACGACGACGUUGAUAGGCCGGGUGUGUAAGCGCAGCGAUGCGUUGAGCUAACCGGUACUAAUGAACCGUGAGGCUUAACCCUACAACGCCGAAG
This 762-nucleotide ribosomal RNA is filed under the name Salmonella enterica. RNAcentral's name for it is "partial 23S ribosomal RNA". It matches the Rfam family "Bacterial large subunit ribosomal RNA", at positions 2181 to 2925 of the family's 2925-position model. Lineage: Bacteria; Pseudomonadati; Pseudomonadota; Gammaproteobacteria; Enterobacterales; Enterobacteriaceae. The record is from RNAcentral.